GCCGGUGUUGCUCGCUGGUUAGAGCAUUCACCCGCAAACUGAAGGAUCAUGGGUUCAAUUCCCAGUCAAGGGCA
RNAcentral lists this transfer RNA (74 nucleotides) under Myotis davidii. It matches the Rfam family "tRNA". Rfam says of the family: Transfer RNA (tRNA) molecules are approximately 80 nucleotides in length. Their secondary structure includes four short double-helical elements and three loops (D, anti-codon, and T loops). Further hydrogen bonds mediate the characteristic L-shaped molecular structure. tRNAs have two regions of fundamental functional importance: the anti-codon, which is responsible for specific mRNA codon recognition, and the 3' end, to which the tRNAs corresponding amino acid is attached (by aminoacyl-tRNA synthetases). tRNAs cope with the degeneracy of the genetic code in two manners: having more than one tRNA (with a specific anti-codon) for a particular amino acid; and 'wobble' base-pairing, i.e. permitting non-standard base-pairing at the 3rd anti-codon position. The record is from Rfam by way of RNAcentral. Lineage: Eukaryota; Metazoa; Chordata; Mammalia; Chiroptera; Vespertilionidae.